RNAcentral lists this ribosomal RNA (460 nucleotides) under uncultured bacterium. Its description in RNAcentral is "partial 16S ribosomal RNA". It matches the Rfam family "Bacterial small subunit ribosomal RNA", at positions 338 to 795 of the family's 1533-position model. The record is from RNAcentral.
CCUACGGGUGGCAGCAGUGAGGAAUAUUGGUCAAUGGACGAGAGUCUGAACCAGCCAAGUAGCGUGAAGGAUGACUGCCCUAUGGGUUGUAAACUUCUUUUAUAUGGGAAUAAAAUGUUCCACGUGUGCCAUUUUGUAUGUACCAUAUGAAUAAGGAUCGGCUAACUCCGUGCCAGCAGCCGCGGUAAUACGGAGGAUCCGAGCGUUAUCCGGAUUUAUUGGGUUUAAAGGGAGCGUAGAUGGAUUGUUAAGUCAGUUGUGAAAGUUUGCGGCUCAACCGUAAAAUUGCAGUUGAUACUGGCAGUCUUGAGUACAGUAGAGGUAGGCGGAAUUCGUGGUGUAGCGGUGAAAUGCUUAGAUAUCACGAAGAACUCCGAUUGCGAAGGCAGCUCACUGGACUGCAACUGACACUGAGGCUCGAAAGUGUGGGUAUCAAACAGGAUUAGAUACCCCAGUAGUC